This 245-nucleotide ribosomal RNA is filed under the name uncultured Bacillota bacterium. RNAcentral describes it as "uncultured Firmicutes bacterium partial 16S ribosomal RNA". It matches the Rfam family "Bacterial small subunit ribosomal RNA", at positions 524 to 769 of the family's 1533-position model. The record is from RNAcentral. Lineage: Bacteria; Bacillati; Bacillota.
UACGUAGGGGGCAAGCGUUAUCCGGAUUUAUUGGGCGUAAAGCGUGUGUAGGCGGUUUAUUAAGUCUAAGAUCAAAGCCUGGGGCUUAACCCCAGUUCGUCUUAGAAACUGGUAGACUUGAGUGUGGUAGAGGCAAGUGGAAUUUCUAGUGUAGCGGUUAAAUGCGUAGAUAUUAGAAGGAACACCAGUGGCGAAGGCGGCUUGCUGGGCCAUUACUGACGCUGAGACACGAAAGCGUGGGGAGC